UCAAACGAGAAAAGGCUUACGGUGGAUACCUAGGCACCUAGAGAUGAUGAAGGGCGCAGUGAUCGAUGAAAUGCUUUGGGGAGUUGAAAAUAAGUAUAAAUUUGGAAAUUCCCAAAUAGGGCAACCUUUCGAACUGCUGCUAAAUCCAUGGGUAGGCAAGAGACAACCUGGCGAACUGAAACAUCUUAGUAGCCAGAUAAAAAAAAGUAAAAUUGAUUCCCGUAGUAGCGACGAGUGAAAUGGGAGCAGCCUAAACCAUGAAAAUAGGAUUAUGGGAGAGCAACCCCAGUCUCGUGCUACUAGGCGAAGUAGCACGAAUGUUGCACCCUAGAUGGUGAAAGUCUAGUAGCCAAAAGCAUCACUAGCUUACACUCUGACCCGAGUAGCAAGGGACACGUGGAAUCCCAUGUGAAUCAGCAAGGACUACCUUGCAAGGCUAAAUACUCCUGGGUGAUCAAUAGCGAAGUAGUACCAUGAGGAAAGGGUGAAAAGAACCCCCAUCGGAGAGUGAAAUAGAAUAUGAAACUAUAAGCUCCUAAGCAGUGGGAAGAGCAAGGUCUCUGGCCGCGUGCCUGUUGAAGAAUGAGCCAACGACUCAUAGGCAGUGGCUUGGUUAAGGAAACCUAUUGGAGCCACCGUGAAAGCGAGUCUUCAUAGGGCAAUUAUCACUGCUUAUGGACCCGAACCUGGGUGAUCUAUCCAUGACUAGGAUAAAGCUUAGGUGAAACUAACUGGAGGUCCACACUUACUGAUGUUGAAGAAUUAGCGGAUGAGUUGUGGUUAGGGGUGAAACGCCACUCGAACCCAGAGUUAGCUGGUUCUCCCUGAAAUGCGUUGAGGCACAACAGUUGGCUGGACAUCUAAGGAUAAAGCACUAUUUCAGUGCGAACCGUGAGAGCGGUACCAAAUUGAGGAAAACUCUGAAUACUAGAUAUGACCUCAAAAUAAUAGGGGUCAAGGUCGGCCAGUGAGACGAUGGGAGAUAAGCUUCAUCGUUGAGAGGGAAACAACCCAGAUCACCAGCUAAGGCCCCUAAAUGAUCGCUCAGUGAUAAAGAAGGUUGGGGUGUAGAGACAGCCAAAAGGUUUGUCUAGAAGCAACCACCCUUGAAAGAGUGCGUAAUAGCUCACUGAUCGAGUGCUCUUGCACCGAAGAUGAAUGAGGCUAAACGAUCUGUCGAAGUUGUGGGAUGUAAAAAUACAUUGGUAGGGAGCGUUCCGCCUUAGAAGGAAGCCCCCGCGUGAGCAGUGGUGGAUGAAGCAAAAGCGAGAAUGUUGACUUGAGUAACGCAAACAUUGGUGAGAAUCAAAUGCCCCGAAAACCUAAGGGUUCCUCCUCAUGGUUCAUCCACAGGGGGUGAGUUAGGGCCUAAGAUCAGGCCGAAAGGCAUAGUCGAUAGACAACAGGUGAAUAUUCCUGUACUACCCUUUGGUCUCGAGGGAUGGAGGAGGGUACGUUAGUCAAAAGUUGGUUAUCGGUUCAAGAACGUAAGAUGCCCCUACUUUUUCAGGGUAAGAAGGGUUAGAGAGAAUGCCUCGAGCUAAUUUUCAAGCACCAGGCGCUACGGCAUUAAAGUAACCCACGCCAUACUCCCAGGAAAAGCUCGAACAACCUUUAAACAAAAGGGUGCAUGUACCCAAAACCGACAUAGGUAGGUAGGUAGAGAAUACCUAGGGACGUGAGAUAAUUCUCUCUAAGGAACUCGGCAAAAUAGCCCCGCAACUUCGAGAGAAGGGGUGCCUCUUUACAAAGAGGGUCGUAGUGACUAGGCUCGGGCGACUGUUUACCAAAAACACAGGUCUCCGUGAAGUCAUAAGACCAUGUAUGGGGGUUGACGCUUGCCCAGUGUCGAAAGGUCAAGGAAGUUGGUGGCCUGAUGAUUGGGGAGCUAGUGACCGAAGCCCCGGUGAAUGGUGGCCGUAACUAUAAUGGUCCUAAGGUAGCAAAAUUCAUUGUCGGGUAAGUUUUGAUUCGCACGAAAGGCGUAACGAUCCAGGCACUAUCUUGGAGAUUGGCUCGGUGAAAUAGACAUGUCUGUGAAGAUGCGGACUACCUGCACCUGAACAGAAAGACCCUAUGAAGCUUCACUGUUCCCUGGGAUUGGGUUUGGGCCUUUCCUGCGCAGCUUAGGCAGAAGGAGAAGAAGGCCUCCUUCCAGGGGGGGAGCCAUCAGUGAGAUACAACUCUAGAAGAGCUAGAAUUCUAACCUUGUGUUAGGACCUAUGGGCCAAGGGAGAGUCUUAGGUAGACAAUUUCUAUGGGGUGUAGGCCUCUCAAAAGGUAACGGAGGCGUACAAAUGUUUCCUCGGGCAUGACGAAGAUUGGCCCUCGAGUGCAAAGGCAGAAGGGAGCUUGAUGACAAGACCCACCCGUCGAGGAGGGACGAAAGUCGACCUUAGUGAUUCGACGAUGCUGAGUGGAAGGGCCGUUGCUCAACGGAUAAAAGUUACUCUAGGGAUAAUAGGCAGAUCUUCACCAAGAGCUCACAUCGAUGGGAAGGUUUGGCACCUCGAUAUCGGCUCUUCGCCACCUGGGGUUGUAGUAUUUCCAAGGAUUGGGCUGUUUACCCAUUAAACUGGUACGUGAAUUGGUUCAGAGCAUCAUGAGAUAGUUUGGUCCAUAUUUGUUGUGGGCGUUAGAGCAUUGAGAGGACCUUUCCCUAGUACGAGAGGAAUAGGAAGGACACACAUAUGGUGUACCAGUUAUCGUGCCCACGGUAAACGCUGGGUAGAUAACUGUUGAAAGCAUCUAUGUAGUAAGCCGACCCCAAGAUGAGUGCUCUUCUAUUCCGACUUUCCCAGAGCUUCUGACAGCAUAGCUGAGAUAGGGAUAGGUUCUUUACCCCUGCGGGGAUGGAGCGAUAGAAGUUUUGAGAAUCCAAGAGAAGGUAACGGUGAGACGAGCUGUUUAUCAUUACAAUAGGUGUCAAGUGGAAGUGCAGUGAUGUAUGUAGCUGGGGCAUCCUAACAGAUUGAUAGACUUGAACCU
Molecule: ribosomal RNA, 2988 nt
Filed under: Olea europaea var. sylvestris
Lineage: Eukaryota; Viridiplantae; Streptophyta; Magnoliopsida; Lamiales; Oleaceae
Description: bacterial LSU rRNA
Rfam family: Bacterial large subunit ribosomal RNA
Source: RNAcentral